RNAcentral lists this microRNA precursor (90 nucleotides) under Sorghum bicolor (sorghum). RNAcentral describes it as "pre miRNA mir-160". It matches the Rfam family "mir-160 microRNA precursor family". Rfam says of the family: The hairpin precursors (represented here) are predicted based on base pairing and cross-species conservation -- their extents are not known. In this case the mature sequence is excised from the 5' arm of the hairpin. Lineage: Eukaryota; Viridiplantae; Streptophyta; Magnoliopsida; Poales; Poaceae. The record is from Rfam by way of RNAcentral.
AACCUCCUGGCUCCAUACAUGCCCGUAGCAUAGUACAAAUACAUUUUCAUAUAUGUACUAUGCUACGGGCAUGUAUGGAGCCAGGAGGUU